AUACUCCUGACUGACCGAUAGUGAACCAGUACCGUGAGGGAAAGGCGAAAAGAACCCCGGCGAGGGGAGUGAAAAAGAACCUGAAACCGUGUACGUACAAGCAGUGGGAGCACGCUUAGGCGUGUGACUGCGUACCUUUUGUAUAAUGGGUCAGCGACUUAUAUUCUGUAGCAAGGUUAACCGAAUAGGGGAGCCGAAGGGAAACCGAGUCUUAACUGGGCGUUAAGUUGCAGGGUAUAGACCCGAAACCCGGUGAUCUAGCCAUGGGCAGGUUGAAGGUUGGGUAACACUAACUGGAGGACCGAACCGACUAAUGUUGAAAAAUUAGCGGAUGACUUGUGGCUGGGGGUGAAAGGCCAAUCAAACCGGGAGAUAGCUGGUUCUCCCCGAAAGCUAUUUAGGUAGCGCCUCGUGAAUUCAUCUCCGGGGGUAGAGCACUGUUUCGGCAAGGGGGUCAUCCCGACUUACCAACCCGAUGCAAACUGCGAAUACCGGAGAAUGUUAUCACGGGAGACACACGGCGGGUGCUAACGUCCGUCGUGAAGAGGGAAACAACCCAGACCGCCAGCUAAGGUCCCAAAGUCAUGGUUAAGUGGGAAACGAUGUGGGAAGGCCCAGACAGCCAGGAUGUUGGCUUAGAAGCAGCCAUCAUUUAAAGAAAGCGUAAUAGCUCACUGGUCGAGUCGGCCUGCGCGGAAGAUGUAACGGGGCUAAACCAUGCACCGAAGCUGCGGCAGCGACGCUGAUGCGUUGUUGGGUAGGGGAGCGUUCUGUAAGCCUGCGAAGGUGUGCUGUGAGGCAUGCUGGAGGUAUCAGAAGUGCGAAUGCUGACAUAAGUAACGAUAAAGCGGGUGAAAAGCCCGCUCGCCGGAAGACCAAGGGUUCCUGUCCAACGUUAAUCGGGGCAGGGUGAGUCGACCCCUAAGGCGAGGCCGAAAGGCGUAGUCGAUGGGAAACAGGUUAAUAUUCCUGUACUUGGUGUUACUGCGAAGGGGGGACGGAGAAGGCUAUGUUGGCCGGGCGACGGUUGUCCCGGUUUAAGCGUGUAGGCUGGUUUUCCAGGCAAAUCCGGAAAAUCAAGGCUGAGGCGUGAUGACGAGGCACUGCGGUGCUGAAGCAACAAAUGCCCUGCUUCCAGGAAAAGCCUCUAAGCAUCAGGUAACAUCAAAUCGUACCCCAAACCGACACAGGUGGUCAGGUAGAGAAUACCAAGGCGCUUGAGAGAACUCGGGUGAAGGAACUAGGCAAAAUGGUGCCGUAACUUCGGGAGAAGGCACGCUGAUAUGUAGGUGAAGUCCCUCGCGGAUGGAGCUGAAAUCAGUCGAAGAUACCAGCUGGCUGCAACUGUUUAUUAAAAACACAGCACUGUGCAAACACGAAAGUGGACGUAUACGGUGUGACGCCUGCCCGGUGCCGGAAGGUUAAUUGAUGGGGUUAGCGCAAGCGAAGCUCUUGAUCGAAGCCCCGGUAAACGGCGGCCGUAACUAUAACGGUCCUAAGGUAGCGAAAUUCCUUGUCGGGUAAGUUCCGACCUGCACGAAUGGCGUAAUGAUGGCCAGGCUGUCUCCACCCGAGACUCAGUGAAAUUGAACUCGCUGUGAAGAUGCAGUGUACCCGCGGCAAGACGGAAAGACCCCGUGAACCUUUACUAUAGCUUGACACUGAACAUUGAGCCUUGAUGUGUAGGAUAGGUGGGAGGCUUUGAAGUGUGGACGCCAGUCUGCAUGGAGCCGACCUUGAAAUACCACCCUUUAAUGUUUGAUGUUCUAACGUUGACCCGUAAUCCGGGUUGCGGACAGUGUCUGGUGGGUAGUUUGACUGGGGCGGUCUCCUCCUAAAGAGUAACGGAGGAGCACGAAGGUUGGCUAAUCCUGGUCGGACAUCAGGAGGUUAGUGCAAUGGCAUAAGCCAGCUUGACUGCGAGCGUGACGGCGCGAGCAGGUGCGAAAGCAGGUCAUAGUGAUCCGGUGGUUCUGAAUGGAAGGGCCAUCGCUCAACGGAUAAAAGGUACUCCGGGGAUAACAGGCUGAUACCGCCCAAGAGUUCAUAUCGACGGCGGUGUUUGGCACCUCGAUGUCGGCUCAUCACAUCCUGGGGCUGAAGUAGGUCCCAAGGGUAUGGCUGUUCGCCAUUUAAAGUGGUACGCGAGCUGGGUUUAGAACGUCGUGAGACAGUUCGGUCCCUAUCUGCCGUGGGCGCUGGAGAACUGAGGGGGGCUGCUCCUAGUACGAGAGGACCGGAGUGGACGCAUCACUGGUGUUCGGGUUGUCAUGCCAAUGGCACUGCCCGGUAGCUAAAUGC
Molecule: ribosomal RNA, 2301 nt
Filed under: Escherichia coli
Lineage: Bacteria; Pseudomonadati; Pseudomonadota; Gammaproteobacteria; Enterobacterales; Enterobacteriaceae
Description: partial 23S ribosomal RNA
Rfam family: Bacterial large subunit ribosomal RNA
Source: RNAcentral